This 272-nucleotide ribosomal RNA is filed under the name uncultured prokaryote. Its description in RNAcentral is "partial 16S ribosomal RNA". It matches the Rfam family "Bacterial small subunit ribosomal RNA", at positions 524 to 794 of the family's 1533-position model. The record is from RNAcentral.
UACGUAGGUGACAAGCGUUGUCCGGAUUUACUGGGCGUAAAGGGAGCGUAGGCGGACUUUUAAGUGAGAUGUGAAAUACCCGGGCUCAACUUGGGUGCUGCAUUUCAAACUGGAAGUCUAGAGUGCAGGAGAGGAGAAUGGAAUUCCUAGUGUAGCGGUGAAAUGCGUAGAGAUUAGGAAGAACACCAGUGGCGAAGGCGAUUCUCUGGACUGUAACUGACGCUGAGGCUCGAAAGCGUGGGGAGGCAAACAGGAUUAGAUACCCCGUACGU